UUGCUGAAGUCCAGGACAAUGAGGUCUUCCUUCAAUGAGGUUAAUGAAAGCUGGAGUACAUUAAACUCGUCAGGUAUGUACCGUUGCUGUGCCGUUCUCGCAGCUGCAAUCUCGUUGCCGCUAAUCAACUGCAGGUAUAAGGCCCUCGAGGCUGGAGUGGAGGCGAGGUGUUGUGUUGGAUCGUGUGCUGGGCUGGGCGAAGAGGAGUGUUGGAUUGUGUUGGCGUCCUCCUUCCGUGUCAAAGCUCAGGUUAUACGGUCUUGGCCCCAGUUGGACUCCAGUGAGCCCGACCAACCAGUGAGAGACUGUUUGUUGUUCGCAAGUUAUUAAUCUUGUCUCUUUUGUUAUUUUACAGAUGCCCGUCAUAACCUUUGUUGUGAUUAUUAAAGUCCCUUAUUUAUUUAUUUUGCCUAUGGGUUGUUUUAGUUGUCCCCUAAUCAUCCAGUGGAGAUCGUUUUCCGUUUUGGCUGUCUGAUUAUAAUACAUUUCUGUUAAAACCUAAA
Long non-coding RNA from Micropterus salmoides (largemouth bass), 503 nucleotides. RefSeq lists it as uncharacterized. NCBI's taxonomy places the organism in Eukaryota, Metazoa, Chordata, Actinopteri, Centrarchiformes, Centrarchidae. The record is from RefSeq and is a predicted model, not a curated record. The transcript has 2 exons.